Long non-coding RNA from Macadamia integrifolia, 952 nucleotides. RefSeq lists it as uncharacterized. NCBI's taxonomy places the organism in Eukaryota, Viridiplantae, Streptophyta, Magnoliopsida, Proteales, Proteaceae. The record is from RefSeq and is a predicted model, not a curated record. The transcript has 2 exons.
GUUGAAAAUAAUUUGUUUGUUAUUUCAUAUCAGGAAACAAAUUGUUUUUGCUGGAAUUGUGCUUGUUAGAACAGUAAUUUUUCUUUUAUGCUGCAUCCAAUUUGACUUUUGAAUAUGCACUUUUUUUUUGGUCUUCCUGUUAGUCUGCUGUAAUACAAAUGAAAUCAUAAAUUUUCUCACAAUUGUUACAUUGCAAUUACCUGUAAUUUCUAUCAAUCAAUUGUCGCAUGACUCCAAAUGUUACGAAACCAAAACAGAAGGUUACAAUAAUGCAGUAGCUGUCACUAUAAUUUCAAUCAAUUGUUGUGUGUCUUUCUAGCUAGAGAUUUCAAUGGUUUUGACCUCUGGUUUUUUACUUCUUCUUUAGGAACAGUAACAGUAAGCACUCCAUUCUACAUAGCAGCAGCCUUCACCUGAUCCAUCUUCGCAUUCUCAUGCAACCUGAACCUCCUCAAGAACUUGCCACUGCUACUCUCAAUUCGGUGCCACUGGUCGUUCUUCUUUUCCUUCUCUUUGGUCCUCUCUCCACUAAUCUGAACUACUUUGCCCUUGAUCAGCUUUCAAGAUGUGAGCUUCUGGGUCUCCUUCCAAUCAAUUCGGGCAACGAAAAGGGAAGUUGAGAAGGAAAGUGAAGACACUCGAGGCUAGUGGCGGCUGGGGAAGCUGAGAUUUGAGAUGUUUUUUGUGGGUUGGAAAUGCAGUGGCAUGCCUUAGCAUUACGAGUCGUCUUUUUGAGCAUUGAAAAAUUGCCAUUUUGUUAUCAUACUAAUCCUGAAACCAGUGUUUUAUUUUUGUGUUUUAUGGACAGUAGUAAGGCUGAUGACUGAAACUAGUAGUCUUACCCUUCGAUCUCUUUUUUGGCUUUCAAGCUAUCAGUAAGCUAUCACUCCACAUCUCUCAAUUGUGGAGUGAACAAGAUUCAGUUCCAUGUUGGAUAAUACUCCUGUCGACA